UACGUAGGGGCAAGCGUUGUCCGGAUUAUUGGGCGUAAAGAGCUCGUAGGUGGCCUGUUACGUCUGCUGUGAAAUCCCGGGGCUUAACCCCGGGCGUGCAGUGGAUACGGGCAGGCUGGAGGCAGGCAGGGGAGAACGGAAUUCCUGGUGUAGCGGUGAAAUGCGCAGAUAUCAGGAGGAACACCGGGUGGCGAAGGCGGUUCUCUGGGCAUGUCCUGACGCUGAGGAGCGAAAGUGUGGGGAGCGAACAGG
RNAcentral lists this ribosomal RNA (252 nucleotides) under uncultured bacterium. RNAcentral's name for it is "partial 16S ribosomal RNA". It matches the Rfam family "Bacterial small subunit ribosomal RNA", at positions 524 to 776 of the family's 1533-position model. The record is from RNAcentral.